GACGAACGCUGGCGGCGUGCUUAACACAUGCAAGUCGAACGGAAAGGCCCUGCUUUUGUGGGGUGCUCGAGUGGCGAACGGGUGAGUAACACGUGAGUAACCUGCCCUUGACUUUGGGAUAACUUCAGGAAACUGGGGCUAAUACCGGAUAGGAGCUCCUGCUGCAUGGUGGGGGUUGGAAAGUUUCGGCGGUUGGGGAUGGACUCGCGGCUUAUCAGCUUGUUGGUGGGGUAGUGGCUUACCAAGGCUUUGACGGGUAGCCGGCCUGAGAGGGUGACCGGCCACAUUGGGACUGAGAUACGGCCCAGACUCCUACGGGAGGCAGCAGUGGGGAAUAUUGCGCAAUGGGCGGAAGCCUGAUGCAGCAACGCCGCGUGCGGGAUGACGGCCUUCGGGUUGUAAACCGCUUUCGCCUGUGACGAAGCGUGAGUGACGGUUAUGGGUAAAGAAGCACCGGCUAACUACGUG
This 468-nucleotide ribosomal RNA is filed under the name uncultured bacterium. RNAcentral describes it as "partial 16S ribosomal RNA". It matches the Rfam family "Bacterial small subunit ribosomal RNA", at positions 28 to 507 of the family's 1533-position model. The record is from RNAcentral.